AUAUCAAUAAGCGGAGGAAAAGAAACUAACAAGGAUUCCCCUAGUAACGGCGAGUGAAGCGGGAAGAGCUCAAGCUUAAAAUCUCCGUGCAAGUUUUGCACGGCGAAUUGUAGUCUAUAGAGGCGUGGUCAGCGUGGGCGCUUGGGGCAAGUUCCUUGGAAGAGGACAGCAUCGAGGGUGAUACUCCCGUUUAUCCCCGAGUGGCCCGUGCGUACGACCCGUUUUCUUUGAGUCGCGUUGUUUGGGAAUGCAGCGCUAAGUAGGUGGUAAAUUCCAUCUAAAGCUAAAUAUUGGUGCGAGACCGAUAGCGAACAAGUACCGUGAGGGAAAGAUGAAAAGAACUUUGAAAAUAGAGUUAAAGAGUACCUGAAACUGCUGAAAGGGAACCGAAUCGUUUCCAGUGUCUAUAAUCCGUGUCAUAUUUCAUUGGCGAGUGUGUGCGUGCGUGUACUGUGGCAGCGGCUUUUUUGGCUGCGCCCGGUGUGUGUGCUGUGUGUGCUUGCUGGUGCCCUGUGGUGCGGUGGGACGUCAAGGUCAGUUCGUAUGCUGCGGGAAAUGGCUGCCGAGGAGGUAGGGCUUACGCUCUGCGUUUGUCUGUUAUAUCUUGGUGGACGAGUAGUCGCGGUUGGGACUGAGGUGCCUACAACGUGCUUUUGAGUGUGUCUGUGUCUCCGUGUGCGCUGUGUGCGGAUAGCUUGCUAUGCGUGUGUGGCUGUGUAUGGAUUGAUGCGGACUUUAGCUUGUUGCCGUUCGGGACAUUGACGAAAUGGAGCGAUCCGACCCGUCUUGAAACACGGACCAAGGAGUCUAACAUGUGUGCAAGUGUUAGGGUGUGGAAACCCCAGCGCGAAAUGAAAGUAAAGGGCAGCGUAAGUUGUCUGAGGUAGGAAAUGCUGUGGGCUUCGGUCUGCGGUGUGGCACUAUCGACCGAUCAUGAACCCUUGUGGUGAAAGAUUUGAGUUUGAGCACAUAUGUUGGUACCCGAAAGAUGGUGAACUAUGCCUGAGUAGGGUGAAGCCAGGGGAAACUCUGGUGGAAGCUCGUAGCGAUUCUGACGUGCAAAUCGAUCGUCAAACUUGGGUAUAGGGGCGAAAGACUAAUCGAACCAUCUAGUAGCUGGUUCCCUCCGAAAUUUCCCUCAGGAUAGCAGCAACUUAUUUACGAUAGUUUUAUGAGGUAAAGCGAAUGAUUAGAGGAUUCGGGGAAGAAACUUUCUCGACCUAUUCUCAAACUUUAAAUCUGUAAGACCUGCAGGUUUCUUAAUUGAACUUGUGGAUGUGAAUAUCAAGUUGCUAGUGGGCCAUACGGGGUAAGCUCGUCUGGCGAUGCGGGAUGAACCGAACGCAAAGUUAAAGUGCCAAAAUGCCCGCUCACCUAGAUACCAUAAAAGGUGUUGGUUCAUUUAGACAGCA
Molecule: ribosomal RNA, 1412 nt
Filed under: Phytophthora sp.
Lineage: Eukaryota; Oomycota; Peronosporomycetes; Peronosporales; Peronosporaceae
Also listed under: 1 other name
Description: LSU rRNA
Rfam family: Eukaryotic large subunit ribosomal RNA
Source: RNAcentral